This 119-nucleotide ribosomal RNA is filed under the name Anolis carolinensis (green anole). Lineage: Eukaryota; Metazoa; Chordata; Lepidosauria; Squamata; Anolidae. The record is from RNAcentral.
GAUUACUGUAAGAAUUCCUAAGGACAUCAGAUCCCAUCUGAUCUUGGAAGCUAAGUAGGGUCAGGCCUGGACAGUAUUUGGGUGAGAGAUAGCCAAUGAAUGCCAGGUGAUAGAGGCUC